AUGAGGUGCUCGAGGGGUAGGGCUGCUUGCGGCGCAGGUGCCUAUCGUGUGUCCCAGCGGGGCACCCGAGGCAACUGCAACUGGCCGGCGAGUUUGGCUGAUUUCAACAUGUCAAGAAGAAGACCAUGGCUACCGGAGGACUAUAUGAACAAGGCUCGCCAGGUCCUGCAUCAUCAACUAACAGCCAACUCCAAACGAUUACUCAGGCCGAGUAUCGUUGCAGGGUAUAUGCGAACAACAAAAUCUAUGCCACAACUCUUUUCAGUACAUCUAUGGUACCACUCAAAGGUGUCCUCAUUUCGGGAUAGUAAGUCCGAUGACAAGAGAUUCUACAUAUUUUCUCCCACAAAGGCACUUAAGUUGAAGACACAUUCAAAAGAUGACCGUGUCUCUGUGGUCGAGGCCUUGGUCUUGGUCAGGAGUGUUUAUUCGCUCAGGUCGCUUAGUGGAACAAUAACUUUGGUGCAGAGUGACAUUUCUAUUUUGACUGCAAGGAAUCAAAAUCGGAUGCACCAAGAGGCUUUAAACGUGAGUCUUAUACAGGAUUGA
RNAcentral lists this ribosomal RNA (549 nucleotides) under Triticum aestivum (bread wheat). RNAcentral describes it as "partial small subunit ribosomal RNA". Lineage: Eukaryota; Viridiplantae; Streptophyta; Magnoliopsida; Poales; Poaceae. The record is from RNAcentral.